GGAAUAUUGGUCAAUGGGCGAGAGCCUGAACCAGCCAAGUAGCGUGCAGGACGACUGCCCUAUGGGUUGUAAACUGCUUUUAUGCGGGGAUAAAGUGACGUACGCGUACGUUUUUGCAGGUACCGCAUGAAUAAGGAUCGGCUAAUUCCGUGCCAGCAGCCGCGGUAAUACGUAGGUGGCAAGCGUUAUCCGGAUUUAUUGGGCGUAAAGCGAGCGCAGGCGGUUUCUUAAGUCUGAUGUGAAAGCCUUCGGCUUAACCGAAGAAGUGCAUCGGAAACUGGGAAACUUGAGUGCAGAAGAGGACAGUGGAACUCCAUGUGUAGCGGUGAAAUGCGUAGAUAUAUGGAAGAACACCAGUGGCGAAGGCGGCUGUCUGGUCUGUAACUGACGCUGAGGCUCGAAAGCAUGGGUAGCGAACA
This 419-nucleotide ribosomal RNA is filed under the name uncultured bacterium. RNAcentral's name for it is "bacterial SSU rRNA". It matches the Rfam family "Bacterial small subunit ribosomal RNA", at positions 358 to 774 of the family's 1533-position model. The record is from RNAcentral.